CCUCUUGAUGAGGAGGAUUUAGUUGCUUACAUUUUAAAUGGGCUAGAUGAAGAUUUUGAACCUGUUGUAUUUGCUAUUGUGGCACGCGAUGAGUCGGUCACAAUGGCGGAAGUCUACUCUCAGCUUCUUAAUUUUGAGA
RNAcentral lists this small nucleolar RNA (139 nucleotides) under Oryza punctata. Its description in RNAcentral is "Small nucleolar RNA Z247". It matches the Rfam family "Small nucleolar RNA Z247". Rfam says of the family: Z247 is a member of the C/D class of snoRNA which contain the C (UGAUGA) and D (CUGA) box motifs. Lineage: Eukaryota; Viridiplantae; Streptophyta; Magnoliopsida; Poales; Poaceae. The record is from Rfam by way of RNAcentral.